This 445-nucleotide ribosomal RNA is filed under the name Empusa sp. MN131. Its description in RNAcentral is "partial 16S ribosomal RNA". It matches the Rfam family "Bacterial large subunit ribosomal RNA", at positions 1819 to 2530 of the family's 2925-position model. The record is from RNAcentral. Lineage: Eukaryota; Metazoa; Arthropoda; Insecta; Mantodea; Empusidae.
GGUUUCUUGAUUGAUGUUUAAGAAAUCUGGCCUGCCCACUGAAAAAUUUUGAAGGGCCGCAGUAUUUUGACUGUGCGAAGGUAGCAUAAUCAUUAGUCUUUUAAUUGAAGGCUUGUAUGAAUGGUUGGAUGAGGUGAAUGCUGUUUUAUAUUAUUUUUUUUGAAUUUAGGUUUUAAGUAAAAAUACUUAAAUUAUAUUAAGGGACGAGAAGACCCUAUAGAGUUUAAUAAAUGUAGUAAUAAAUUGAGUUAAUAAGAAUUUUUUGGUUUUUAUGAUAUUUAUUUAAUUGGGGUGAUUAAAGAAUAUGGAAAACUUCUUUUUAAUUUUAAUAUUUAUAUGUAGUUAUAAGAUCCGCUAUUAGUGAUUAAAAGAUUAAAUUACCUUAGGGAUAACAGCAUAAUUUUCUUUGAGAGUUCAUAUCGAAAAGAAAGAUUAUGACCUCGAU